Molecule: long non-coding RNA, 885 nt
Filed under: Ananas comosus (pineapple)
Lineage: Eukaryota; Viridiplantae; Streptophyta; Magnoliopsida; Poales; Bromeliaceae
Description: long non-coding RNA (ACOM_LNC019872)
Source: RNAcentral
AAAAAAAAGGAGGAGAAAAUAGUGGCAGAGAGAAGGUAGGUCAUGGAGAGAAUGAAUGAGGAACUAGUUAGGACCCGCUCGAUGCGGCGGAAAAAAAAUAUGAUAGUAAAUUAUUAUAACUAUUAAAAUCAUUUUUUUCUUUUAUGUAUUAAUAUUUUUAAAUAUUAUUUAUCUCAGUAUUGAAUAAUUAAAAAGUAAAGAAUAAAUUAAAGAAUGAAAUUAAAAUAUAUUUUUUUAAAAAAUAUUUAAAUCUAAUAAGUAAAAUGAAUAAAUCAGUUUAAAACAAAAUAAAAGAUCAUUACAGUAUUAAGAAAAAUAAAUAAUAUUUUUCUAUUAUCAUCAAGGUAGAAUUAAAAAAAAUAAAAAAAUUAAGUAGAGUGAAAGUACUAUCUUUAGUAUUCUUGGCGGCAACGUUUUAAUUGUGCCAUCAUUAACUUUUAUCGUUGCACAUACAACUAAAAAAAGUAUUUGAUUUUUAAAUUUUAAAUUAGUGAAGAAAUUAGUAGAUAAUUAUCAGAAGCGCAAAAAAUAAGACUAAUGAAAAGACAUUUGAAAUCAAAAUGGAUAUUUUUUACAUUGUAAAAAAAUUUAACUAUCAAAUAUUAUAUUAUUUUAUAAAUUAAUUCAUAAAAAAAUUAUUCGUGAACUAAAGUGAAAAACAUGUAAAGUUUAGGGAAUAGGGGCCAAAAUAAAAACAGAGCGAAAAGAUUGGGGCCCAAUAUGUAAUUAAUCUUUUAAAAAAUUGAUGUAAGCCCCACAACCCCCAAAAUAAAGGGAGGUCUUUUUUUGAAUUCCAAAUUAGUAUAUUUAUUUAUAAAUAUAAAUUAUAAAUAAAUAAAUAUUUAUAAAGUGUGUGAGAGAGAAAGUGAGAGAGAAAAAAAAAAA